Molecule: ribosomal RNA, 253 nt
Filed under: uncultured bacterium
Lineage: Bacteria
Description: partial 16S ribosomal RNA
Rfam family: Bacterial small subunit ribosomal RNA
Source: RNAcentral
UACGGAGGGGGCAAGCGUUAUUCGGAAUUAUUGGGCGUAAAGGGCGCGUAGGCGGCUAGAUGUGUCAAAGGUGAAAUCCCUCGGCUCAACUGAGGAACUGCCUUUGAAACUGUCUGGCUUGAGGCCGGGAGAGGGUAGCGGAAUUCCCAGUGUAGCGGUGAAAUGCGUAGAUAUCUGGAGGAACACCGGUGGCGAAGGCGGCAUCCUGGACCGAGACUGACACUGAGGAGCGAAAGCCAGGGGAGCAAACGGG